RNAcentral lists this ribosomal RNA (373 nucleotides) under Lactiplantibacillus plantarum. Its description in RNAcentral is "bacterial SSU rRNA". It matches the Rfam family "Bacterial small subunit ribosomal RNA", at positions 68 to 436 of the family's 1533-position model. Lineage: Bacteria; Bacillati; Bacillota; Bacilli; Lactobacillales; Lactobacillaceae. The record is from RNAcentral.
UGCAUCAUGAUUUACAUUUGAGUGAGUGGCGAACUGGUGAGUAACACGUGGGAAACCUGCCCAGAAGCGGGGGAUAACACCUGGAAACAGAUGCUAAUACCGCAUAACAACUUGGACCGCAUGGUCCGAGCUUGAAAGAUGGCUUCGGCUAUCACUUUUGGAUGGUCCCGCGGCGUAUUAGCUAGAUGGUGGGGUAACGGCUCACCAUGGCAAUGAUACGUAGCCGACCUGAGAGGGUAAUCGGCCACAUUGGGACUGAGACACGGCCCAAACUCCUACGGGAGGCAGCAGUAGGGAAUCUUCCACAAUGGACGAAAGUCUGAUGGAGCAACCCCCCGUGAGUGAAGAAGGGUUUCGGCUCGUAAAACUCUGU